AUUAUCACAAAUGUCUAACUUUUUUUUGUUACGUUUUUUUUGGUGGCUGCUUGUCCUGCCCUUUGCCUUUAGCACUGUCAUGUUGGCGUGCUCUGGUGGACCAUCUUGGUGGUGAUGAGACUGGCGUGAUAUUUGGAGUAGUCGUACCAGAACUGCUGGUUGUUUGCUGUUGGUGCAUGCAUCUGAGUGUUUCAUUCAGCAUCUUACACCCAAUGUCAUACUGUAUGACUCAAGUGGACAUACAUAUCUUUAAUGGAUGUGGACAAGGCCAUUUAGUUUGGAUUCCAUUUCAGCUUUUACUUACUGCGUUUGAUACUCACAAUCAAGAUGAGGGGAGUGUGGAUGACGUCUUGGAGGUGUGUCCAAAAUUUGGAGUGGGAGGACAGAACAUACGGA
Molecule: long non-coding RNA, 396 nt
Organism: Pseudophryne corroboree (corroboree frog)
Lineage: Eukaryota; Metazoa; Chordata; Amphibia; Anura; Myobatrachidae
Exons: 3
Source: RefSeq, a predicted model, not a curated record